GGGUCUGUCCAUGGGUCGGGCUUUACGGUCCGUACUGGUGAGAUGGGUUCCUACCUUCUGAAUAACCGGCAUGCCAUUCAGUUGGUGCGCCGGGGAAGCAGAGCUAUUACCUUGAAAAAAUUAGAGUGCUUAAAGCAGGCUAUUGCUUGAAUAGAUUAGCAUGGAAUAAUAAAAUAGGACGGCAUGGUUCUAUUUUGUUGGUUUCUAGGAUCACCGUA
Molecule: ribosomal RNA, 218 nt
Filed under: Glomeromycotina sp.
Lineage: Eukaryota; Fungi; Glomeromycota
Description: partial small subunit ribosomal RNA
Rfam family: Eukaryotic small subunit ribosomal RNA (bases 93-218)
Source: RNAcentral